UAGGGGGUUAUCAGGAAAUAAGGAAGAAAGGCCUACAUGUCGGAAUUACAUAGAGAUAUCAACGCACCGCGCAAUUUUACAUCAUCUAGAAGACUCCAGAAGCCACGAGACCGAAGCAGAGGCAAAACUGGGCCAGGCCCAGGGCGCCCGCCCUGGUAGCCUGGGCGCCCGCCCCCCUGCUGGAGCCAAAUCAGGACUAUUUCGUUCGGGAUAUUCCACCGACCUAUUGGAUCAAGAAAAACAUAGUACCACCUCGGCUAUCGACCCAAAAACGCAUAGAAGGGGAGGACUAUAUAAGCAAGGCCCCCCUGGCCCCUGGAGA
This 322-nucleotide long non-coding RNA is filed under the name Sorghum bicolor (sorghum). RNAcentral's name for it is "long non-coding RNA (SBIC_LNC018673)". The record is from RNAcentral. Lineage: Eukaryota; Viridiplantae; Streptophyta; Magnoliopsida; Poales; Poaceae.